AGUGCAAACUCAAUCCAAAACUCACAAAUCAAGCAUAGAUCCUGAGCAGUCUACUAUGUGACAGUCCAAAUCCAAACAGUUUCUAUUAUACAUGCCAUACAAAUCUCAGAUCUUGACUACUAAACAUGUUAAGUAAGUAAAAUACAGCAAGAACUCAAAUAACUAAUUAAGAUGCUUCUUCAUUCAAUAUUCAAACUCGUAUUUAUACGGUCUUUCACAUUUCAACAGGGAAGGUAGUGAAGUACUUGGAAAUGCAAGGAAACAAUCGAAAGAGGAUGGUCAGCAACAGUUUUAAAAUGGACAAAUCACAGCAACAGAAAACACAACAACCCAUAUGUAAAGUAUACGAAUAAAAUGCUUCAAACCAAGUUGAAAUAAACCCGCAGAUCUAACACAACAAUGGAAAAGAAAAACCAAAAUCCAGGAAGCUUUCAAUAAUCUUCAAAACCCCAUAGAUUUGCUCGACAAUAGGAACCAGAUAAUGAAACCUGAAGACCUCAGCCGAAACUAUCCUCAAUCAAUGGAACAAUGGUCCAUUUUAAUGUUUUCUGUAUAUUUUUUAGUUUUUUUGAAUUAGAAACUGACUGAAACUUGUAAAAAGAGAAGAAAAUAAGAGAGUUUUUAGUGCUGUUUUCCAACUGAAAAGAUUGAACCCAAAAAUUUCUUGAAAUCAAUUGUGAAUAACCCAGAAAUUUCAACGAAGUAGCAAGAGAACCAUGGAAUUAAAUUAUGAACUAGAGUAUCAAAAAUUAGCUUAAAACUCUAAUGAAACAGUGACCUUCUAUUGGAUUUUCACAGUUUUGUAUAUUUUUUGAGAUUUUUGUAUGUGACUGCAGAAAUUAACUUUAAGCUUACAAGGAAAAACAAAAAUGGAAUUUUAUGUGUAUU
This 888-nucleotide long non-coding RNA is filed under the name Nicotiana benthamiana. Its description in RNAcentral is "long non-coding RNA (NBEN_LNC035900)". The record is from RNAcentral. Lineage: Eukaryota; Viridiplantae; Streptophyta; Magnoliopsida; Solanales; Solanaceae.